Long non-coding RNA from Labrus mixtus (cuckoo wrasse), 361 nucleotides. RefSeq lists it as uncharacterized. Lineage: Eukaryota; Metazoa; Chordata; Actinopteri; Labriformes; Labridae. The record is from RefSeq and is a predicted model, not a curated record. The transcript is spliced from 2 exons.
AUUGACAAAACACUACAUGGUCUCUUCUGUUAGGUUAUAAUGAAAUUAUAACAGAUCAUUUGUUGGCUCUGACUUCAUUGUGUACGACACUGUGGGAUGGAAAAAGCAUUGAUUUGUUUUAAAUCAGAGUAGUCUAAGAGCAUCAUAGGUGGGACAGUUCAGCUGGAUGCUUGUCUCAUACACCAAAAAUAAAAAACGGCCUUAAUUUGACUUUGACUUUCUCUUUGAUACAUGGAAAAUGCAGCAAAACUCCAACACAUGACGCUCCCGGUUGUUUGUGACCCAGAUUUUGAGGAGAACUGAGCUCUAAAGACAGUGAGGACUGGAGGAGUGGAGACAUGUUGAUAAGCUACAAUAAAAA